RNAcentral lists this ribosomal RNA (104 nucleotides) under Lepisosteus oculatus (spotted gar). Lineage: Eukaryota; Metazoa; Chordata; Actinopteri; Semionotiformes; Lepisosteidae. The record is from RNAcentral.
ACCAGCAGCCAUAUCACCCUGCAACUCACAGCUAAGCAGGUGUGAGCCUGGUCAGUACCUGGAUGGGGGAGACCUCCUGGGAAAAACGAAGGCUGCUGCUGGAA